This 3546-nucleotide long non-coding RNA is filed under the name Homo sapiens (human). RNAcentral describes it as "HSALNT0235734". Lineage: Eukaryota; Metazoa; Chordata; Mammalia; Primates; Hominidae. The record is from RNAcentral.
GGAAAACAGAAAUGGUAGCAAAAUAGUGGAAAAAUCUAAUUUUCUCCCCAGUAACCGUGAAUAAUAGCACCUUAUUUUUUCACAGAAUAGUCUAAAGCCAUACCAGCUCUUCGGAAAAUGAACAACCUUUCCUCCUUCCUGCAGUGGCCACAAAGGGGAUCUCGGUUUAAAAUCUCUGAAAGGCUGCCUGCGGACUCACAGGAUAAAGGCAGCAUCAUUCUCUGAUGGCGCAGACUGCAAAAUUAGAUGGACCUGAGAGCCAGAGGGAUGCUCAUUUCUUAAGGCACUGCCAAUGAAUCAGAGCCCCUCUGUCUACUAACGUGGCAGACAACAGUUCUGCAAAAAAAGGAAAAAGAGAAAGAAGAAAGCAGGAGAGUCUGUGCCAGGUUCCAUACUCCUUAUCUUCCACACGUGACCUCCUGUGGCUUUGAGAGCCUGCUCACCGUCUCCUCCAGGAGGCAAGGAGAAUUCAGAGUAGUGGUUACCAUUAGGAUGCACAGAAAUACAAAGAUGCUGGAAUUGGUUUUGCUGAGCCUUCUAGGCUAAUUCAGUGGGUUGCUUUUCAUCUCCUGUUUACAGAAUUUGAGUCUUAAAAGAGGAGCACGGCAGUCACCGCUUUAUAACACCGUCAGAUACAGGCUGUGGCUCCAGUGCCCAGUUCACCAGUGCCCAGUUCACCAGUGCCCAGUUCACCAGUGCCCAGUUCAGAAACUCCAGUAGGGGCAGAUUAAACACAGUCGCCGCUUUAUAACACUUUAGGAUGCAGGCUGUGUGUGUAUAGAAUUUGAGUCCUAAAAAGGGCCACAACAGUCACUGCUUUAUAACACCUUUAGACGUAAGCUGUAGCUCCAGUGCUCCGUUCAGAAACUCUAGUGGGGUAGAUUAAAUGCAGACAUUUUUGGGAGUGAUUAGUUCUGUUUUUAAUCCACAUACAGCUUGGAAUGGAAAGUAGCCACCUUUUAAUUUUUUUAUUAUUACUUUUUUUUCUUCUUUUUUUUUUUUUAGAUGGAGUCUCGCUCUGUCACCAGGCUGGAGUGCGAUGGCACCAUCUCAGCUCACUGCAACCUCCGACUCCCUGGUUCAAGUGAUUCUCCUGCCUCAGCCUCCCGAGUAGCUGGGAUUACAGGCAUGCGCCACCACACCCAGCUAAUUUUUGUAUUUUUAGUAGAGAUGGGGUUUCACCAUGUUGGGCAGGAUGGUCUUGAUCUCUUGACCUCAUGAUCCACCUGCCUCAGCCUCCCAAAGUGCUGGGAUUACAGGCAUGAGCCAUCGCACCUGGCCUAAUUUUUUUUUUUUUUUUAAGACAGAGUAUGUCUCUGUCACCCAGGCUGGAGUGCAGUGGCGCAAUCUUGGCUCACUGCAGCCUCCGCCUCCUGGGCUCAAGUGAUUCUCAUGCCUCAGCCUCCGGAGUAGCUGGAACUAUAGGCAUGUACUAGCACACACAGCUAAUUUUUUUAGUAUUUUUAGUAGAGACGGAGUUUCGUCAUGUUGGUCAGACUGGUCUUGAACUCCUGGCCUCAAGUAAUCCACCGUCAGCCUUGCAGCGUGCUGGGAUUAUAGGUGUGAGCUACUGCCCCCCCGGCCAACCACGUUUUUAUUUUAAAAAGUGUCUAGGGACAGUGCCAGAGUGAUUCUUUCAGCACAUUUCUGAUUAGCCAGGUAGUGAAGGUAUUUUUGUGUUUCUUAAAAAAACCUUAACUUCUUGUAGGACCCAUGAUUCUUCCAGUUGCAAAACAAUCUUUCUAUAUGACUCAUGAUCAGAGGUUAGAUGUCAAAUAUUAGGGUGUGUGUUGAGAAUGGACUUGCCUGAUAGCACCAGUGCUUCAGAGGAGUUUUUAAACUCUGCAAAAUGAAUUAUAGUACAUUUCCCCAACUUCAGUACCUUAUUAAAACAAGCAAAAGUAUUCCAGCCCGAAAAAAGUCUGGCACAUAGUUUAUCUAUCUUGGAGACUGUGACAUGUAAGAUUGUGUGAGUCUUAUUUGUUUGCUGGAAGAAAAAAGCGAUACCUUCAGCAGAGACAGUUCUGGUAGGAUGCCAGGUUUAAUGUAAGAGAGAAAGGGAUAGAAACCCUUUCUCUGAGAUAGGAUCAUGCAGACUUCUUCAUAUGUGAGACCUAAGUGUAUAACUUAGCCCCUUUUUUGCCUUUCUUAGCUGCAUGUCAUAUGUUUUAGGGUGUUUGUCUAGAACACAGUAGCUAUGGUCCCAUUAGCAUGUCACCAUAACAUGACAUGACCUGCAGUAUCACAGAAUUCCAUGUGAGCUGUGUCGAAAAAGAUCAGUCCUUUCUAGUGGUCAGUUGCCUACAGAGGCCUCUGUUGCACUUUUUACUCCACGAUUGAAACUUUUUUAGAAUUUACUGAUCCCAUGUAGCAUCUUGGAUAUUAGACUCUGUUUAAGCCAAAUAGAGAAUACUUACAGAAAGCAUGAAGCUGUGAUUUUGAACCACUGCUCAUGGUUGGGCCUGAAGUUAGAGGAAUGGUUAUGAGCGCACUUAUUCAGAGCGGUAGCCUCAGCACCAGCACUCUUACAGGUGCACCAUGAUACUUUUAAUCAGUGGGCAAUAUUUGUCAAGGUCCCACUGUGCCAUAGCCUUGCUUAGGUGCUGUAGGUGAGGUGACCAUAUGAUUUAUCACCAGAGUCACUUUGAGAAGGAGAGGGAGCUGUUAAUAACUAUACUGAAUCAUAAACGCAGCGUGUCCCCGGUAAACCAAAUGGAUGAUUGGCUCAGCUAUGGGCUCUAUAGGAGUGCUGUUCAUAUCCUUGGUCCCCAUUCUAAAGGAUACUUAUAACCCUGCUAAAGGGCUAAUACUCAUACACUAAACCAGUGGUCCCCAACCUUUUUGGCACCAGCGAGCAGUUUUUUGGAAGACAGUUUUUCCAUGGACCAGGGAGGGGGACAUGGUUUCAGGAUGAAACUGUUCCACCUCAGAUAAUCAGGCCUUAGUUAGAUUCUGUUAAGGAGCUUGCAACCUAGAUCCCUCGCGUGUGCAGUUCACAGUAGGGUUCGCGCUCCUAUGAGAAUCUAAUACCGCUGCUGAUCUGAGGAGGGGGAGCUCAGAAGAUCAUGCUCACUCACUUGCCCACCGCUCACCUCCUGCUGUGCGGCCCAGUUCCCAACAGGCCACGGACUGGUGCUGGCCCACGGCCCAGGGCUUGGGGUCCCCUGCACUAAACAAUUCAAGAACAUUAUGUUUAAAAAAGUCCUCUUCUGUAAUUAACCCAUUGCCCCCCCCCCCAGAACAUUAUGUUUAAAACAGUCCUCUUCUGUAAUUAACCCAUUGCCCCCUCCGCAGAACAUUAUGUUUAAAACAGUCCUCUUCUGUAAUUAACCCAUUGCCCCCCCCAGAACAUUAUGUUUAAAACAGUCCUCUUCUGUAAUUAACCCAUUGCCCCCCCCAGAACAUUAUGUUUAAAACAGUCCUCUUCUGUAAUUAACCCAUUGCCCCCCCAAAUAAAUUUCUCUCCUGCUAAAUCACUCCCAAGCAGACGUAUGCAAGCAUUUCUCAUCUUUAAAAAUUACUCCCUUUACGCCAUCUUUUGCCCUA